UGCAUACUGGGGAAGAUAUUGGACAAUUGCUGCUUUUUCAACAAUUUAUUUCAUUGGAAUGUGUACAUUAACUCUCUCUGCAUCUGUUCCUGCUCUAAAGCCUGCUGAAUGUGUUGGGUUUAUGUGCCCCCCAGCUUCUUCUGCUCAGUAUAUUGUAUUUUUCCUUGGACUCUAUUUGAUUGCCCUUGGGACCGGUGGAAUCAAA
This 205-nucleotide unclassified non-coding RNA is filed under the name Hevea brasiliensis (rubber tree). The record is from RNAcentral. Lineage: Eukaryota; Viridiplantae; Streptophyta; Magnoliopsida; Malpighiales; Euphorbiaceae.